GCGGAACCCGUCAUCAGCUAAGUACAGAGCGGGCGGCGGGCGGGGCGGCGGCCGGGGAAAUUGCCGGUUCCCGUGCCCCGCGGGGCCUGCGGGCGCCCCGAGUCUGGGGGCCCGGGGCGGGCGGGCCGGGGUCCGGGGGAUCCCGGGGGGUCACGGGCGGCCCGGGUCCGAGUGCGCCGGUACUGAGCUCGAGAACGGCCCCCGCUGGGGAAGGAGCCGCUGGCAGCGCGGGGGCCGCGCGCAGGGCAGGGGGCGGCGGCGGCGCCGGCGCGGGCGGGGAGGGAGGGCGCGGCUCCGGGCGCGGGGCCAGGUCGGGCGGCCCGGGGCUCCGCGGGGGACGCGCGGCGAGGACGCGGGGCUCUCGGCACCCCUCUCCCGUAGCGGGGCCCUGCCCCGGCUCUUAGAAAGAGCAUUGGGCUCCGGGCCAGAGCGCCGUGGGGCCAGCGCCCCAGCCCUUAGUGAAUUGCUUCAUCUGCCACUCAUGUCCUGCGCCCUGGAAGCUGCAGAGAGAGCCUCGGCUCCCCGUGCAAGCGCUGGGCUGACAACUGACAGCGGCGACGCUUGGAAUGAGACGUCCAAGGGUUCAAGGGUCAACUCUUUCCUCCAGGCCUAGCAGAUCAUAGAUACUCCUUCUUCUUAAACUUAUUAAGGAAAAAGGCAGUCACUCAUGCCUUCCGCCAACAAAUAUUGACUGAGCACCUACUAUGCGCUAGACAUGCUGCUAGGCCUUGAGGAUGGAGGGGUGAAUGAGACAGGCAAAGCCUCAUGUUCUUUUGGUGGAGACAAGCAAUAAACACUUGAAUACACAUCUCAGACAAGAUAGUGCUGCAGAUGGUGAUGGGUGUCAGGGAGACUCCUCAUCACCUGAGGCAAGGGGAAAAGGCAUUGUGGGAGACGGGGGAGCUGUUCUAUUUGAGACUCAGUGGCCCCAGAGGAAGGGCUUCCUGGGACAGUGCCCUUUAAGCUGAGACCUGAGCAAAGCGUGAGAUUUAGCAAGGCAAUUUUCUAAGGGAAGGUUUUUUAGAUAAAGCAGACUGCAGGUGCAAAGUUCCCAGCCCUUGCUGGUAGAAUGAUCUCUCAGGCUCCUGAGCCCCCAAAGCACAAGAUUGCACCCCUUCCUCUGACAAGAGAGGAAGCGUGAAGCCCAGAUCUGGAGUCAGGCAGACCUGGCUUUACAUUCUGGCCCUGGUACUCACUAGCUGUGUGACCUUGCACACAUCACUUAGCCUCUCUGAGUGGUAGUUCCUGCGUCUGUCACAUGGGGAGAAUAAUGCUCUGUUCUUUACAGGUUUGUGUGAGGAUUCAAUGAAGUAACACCAAAAUGUUGCAAGCCCAGACUUGGGCAUCCUUAUGUGCUCAAACAAAUGAUCUCUGGGUUCCCUAAGAAGACCUCACCUUCUGCAUCUGAAAACUAGGUCUCUCUGACUCGGAGUGAAAAGCGAAUUUACCUUUCCCCAUCCUGGUGGCAACGAGGGGGCCCAUGGUAGAACUGUGCGCAGCUUGGACAAACUCUGGGAGAGGGGUCCCAGCUGGGGUUUCCUGUUGGACGCCCUUUGGAACUCAGAGCCCCGUUGACAGGAGGAGAGAGGAGCAGUUGAUUGGACAGCUCCCCACCCAGCCAGCCACACUAUCCGAGUCUCAGGCAUUUGGUGGAGUUCAGAGAGGAGGCCUCCAGCAAGCCCAGGUCAGGGCCAAGCUGUCACACUGGUGAGGUUCAUACUUCACAUUCUCACCCUCUUCCCCAGGCUUCCCCUCCCUGCCUCCUUUGCUAAACUUGCCCUUCCUUGAGAAAGGACGGGAGCUCAGUCGCUUUACAGCGACUAAGAGAGGAUGUCAGUCUUUGGAGAUACUCCUUCAUUUGACAUGUGGGGAAUCUGAAGCCCAGAGAUGGCAGGGCUUUGCCAGAGGCUACACAGCAGUCCUGAGGAUGAGAAUUCAUGUCAGAGACCCUUGAUCUAGGGCUGUUUCUCUAUGGUACUUCAUAGCCUAGUUCUGCCCAUUUUACAGAUGGAACAAACUGGGGCCCAAAACUGUGACAUAAGCCAGCAAAGGCUUCCCAGGCCAACAUUAGCAAUGAGGAAUGAGGAAUGUACUUUAGGCAGGGGUUGGGGGGAAUGGGAUCCUUCCAGGACCCCUCCAAUUAUUCGUAGACCCACCUGCUUUGAAGAUGAUCUCUGCCUCCCCUCUCCGCCCAGGGAAAAGACAUCUGGAGAGAUCUGUAGCUAUCAGCUCCCCUUUGUCACCCAGGAAUCCUAAAUCUCCCUAUCCUGACAGAUCAGCCCAGCUGGGGCCCAGAUCCACAUUGGUGCCCUUGUCUGUCUGGCUCCCGUGAGAGCUGGCUAUGAUGGUUGUGCACCUGGAGGCCACUAAGGUCAGGGUGGGCACCGCCUCACUCUGCUCCAGGGCUCUAGACCAAUGCCUAGGUAGGAGCUUUUUCUCAAGACUCGGACAUCAACAGCCAGGCCUGGCAUCAAAAGCCUCUCCUCACCUGCAUGUUUGCUGCCAGCUGCUCUGAGGGGUUGCGUUUCAUUUGUUCAUUAGCUCAUUCAUUCAUUCUUUCUUGCAUUCAAUAUCUCUAGAGAACCUGCAAGGUGCCAGGCACUGCCCCACACAUUGAAGGUAGAGCAGCAAACAAGAUGGUGGGGCCCUGCCUCCUGGAGCUCACUUUCUGGGGUGGGGAGACAGGCAGUAAAUCAAUAUACACAAGACAGAAGGUCAGAUGGAGGUAUCAAGGUGAGGCGGUGGUGCAUGAUGGGGGUGUUCUUUUAGACCAGGUAGUUGAGCAGCGGCCAUGAAAAAGUGGGGGUAGCGGGUCGGGGGUUCCUUGCUGAUGUCUGGGGGAGAAAUUUAGAAAGAGGGGCCUGUAAGUGUCAAGGCCAUGAGGGAGAAACAUGCCUGGUGUUUUGGGGGAUAGCAAGGAACGCAGUGUGGCUGGAGUGAGGGGGACAGAUGAGCGCGUGGGCAGGGAUGAGACUGGAGAAGGGAGGGGCCGCACAGUGGGGGGGUGGGCGGAUGGGGGACCCUCAAGGCACCGAGCUGCCCCACUUAUUCCGUGUCAGCCUCUGUCCAGCCCCUGCCUUGGGUGGCACCGUGCUGUCCCAGGCAGCGUGGACAUCAGGAGCUCAUUACAGAGCAGGCUGUCUGAGGGGCUUCUCUGCUUCUGCCACAUCCUCACACCCCUUUCACCUGUCCUAAAAGGCAGGAUGAAAAGGAUGAGAGAGGAAGCUGGCCUCCUGUGAGAAGAUGCUGGACUCAGAAAUCUUUGAAUUCUAGGCUUCACCUCUGAGUGACUGCAUGAACUUGGAAGAGCUACUUAAACGCUCUGAACUUCCGUUUCCAUAUCUGGCUAAAUAUACUGGCAGCACAAAUAGCUAUGAAAGCUAAGGGUCCACCACCCCCUGACCCAGCAGGUACACUCCUAGCUACAGACCCAAGAGAAAUGAGCACACGUGUCCAAAAGGCACGGACAAGGUGUUCGUGGGGGUUGUUCACAAUGGCCCCAAAUGAGUCAACCCUGAGGCUCAUCAUCAGAAGAAUGGCUGAAGCCGUGUGGGAUAGUUGUAGAGUGGAAUAUUUCAUAGCAACAACAUAAUGAAACUGCUGAUAGAUGCAGCAACGUGGAAGAAUCUGACAUUUUGUUGAGUGAAAGAAGCCAGACACACAAGAAUAGGAGCUGUGUGAUUCCAUUAAGCCGAAUUCAAUAACAGGUGAGGCUAGUCUGUGGUGAGAAAGGUCAGGAUAGUGGUUACCCUUGGGGGUGCUGACUGGGAGGGGGACUGAGGGAAGCUUCUGGCAUGUUGGAAGUGGUUUAUAGCCUUUUUUUUUUUUUUUUUUUGAAAUGGAGUCUGGCUCUGUUGCCCAGGCUGGAGGGCAGUGACACCAUCUCGGCUCACUGCAACCUCCGCCUCCCAGGUUCACGCAAUUCUCCUGUCUCAGCCUCCCGAGUAGCUGGGACUACAGGCGCCCAGCACCAUGCCCAGAUAAUAUUUGUAUUUUUAGUAGAGAUGGGGUUUCACCAUAUUGGUGAGGCUGGUCUCGAACUCCUGAUCUCAGGUGAUCUGCCUGCCUCAGCCACCAAAAAUUCUGGGAUUACAGGUGUGAGCCACCACGCCUGGCUGGAAGUGGUUUAUAUCUUGAUUCUAGUUGGUAUCACAUGGGUUUAUACCUAUGUGAAAAUUCAUUAAGCUUGAGCUCAUCAAAUAAUUUGAGAUUCAUGCAAGUUGUACCAGACGUAUGUUAUAUUUCAAUAAAAAGGUGUUUCAAAAUGCCUAGCGAGCUGGUGAAGGAUAAAUGGGAUUGAGAAUGUAGCUAUGCCUGCCUCAAAAUAGGGCCUUGUGAAUGUUCCUGCCUCCCUAGUGCCACUCUGAGGGACAAGGGGUGCCCUCCAGCAGCCAGGCUUUGUCUAGACUGUUUUGACAUCAACUGCCAUCGACUGCUGUGACCACCGUGACAGAGCACCAGCCAGGGUCAGGUGAUAUUGUGCUGUGCUGUUGGGUUUUGUUUUGUUUUGUUUUGUAUUUUUUUGUUUUUGCUUUAUUUUUUCUGUUGCUUUGCUUUGUGAUGAGAAAAUUAUUGUGCUUAUCAUCAUUAAUUUUAUUUAUUUAUUUUUGAGACUACAGUCUCGCUCUGUCACCCAGGCUGGAGUGCCGUGGCGCAAUCUCAGCUCACUGCAACCUCCGCCUCCCAGGUUCAAGCAAUCUUCCUGUCUCAGUCUCCCAAGUAGCUGGGAUUACAGGCACGCACCACCCAUGCCCAGCUAAUUUGUGUGUGUGUGUGUGUGUGUGUGUGUGUGUGUGUGUGUGUGUAUUUUUAGUAGAGACAGGGUUUUGCCAUGUUGACCAGUCUGGUCUCGAACUCCUGACCUCAGGUGAUCCACCUGCCUUGGCCUCCCAAAAUGCUGAGAUUACAGGCAUGAGCCACUAUGCCCAGCUGCUGAUUAUCAUCAUUCAAUGACGCAGCUUGCUAGCGUUCAGGUCCCCAGGCCUGGUGUGUGCAGCAGAGACCCUGGAGUGGGGAGCCAUCCCCUCCCUUUACAGAGGGGCAAGGUCCACCAGAGAUGAGCUUGGGAGCCUUGGGUUCACCCAACAAUGGAGUGGCAAUCCCCACCCCCAGCCUCCCUUGGCCCACAUCCCCAGUGCCCCCAGGAUCAACUGGCUGCACCACUUAUGCCCUUCCACCCUGCCCCAAAGUCACUGCCCCAGGCCCAGAGUGGGGAGUGAUGUCCCCAAGGCAAUAUGGGAAGUCUGCAGCAGAGCCAGGCUAGGCCAGGGGAGGCAGGGAGAUGAGAGGCUGAAGGCCUGGGCCACCUAGGCCACCUUGGCACCAGCCAAGCUUCCCCCUCGAGCCCAGGUGGGGAGGCCCUUCCUGAGCAAAGGCUAGGGGUCUGUGUCCUCUCUCAGCUCUGAAGAAGUGGUACAGUUAUAAGAUUAACGAGAGGAGUACUUUUAUCAUCAGCUCAGCAUCGGGUGGGCAUCCAUUGUACCCCUGUCUGCCAGGUACCAUGUAGGGUAAACCCUGCCGCCUAAGCCUAAGCCCCUCCUAUCUCAGGGUUACAAUCUGGGGUCCCCACUCUUCUUUUGGCCACUCCUUCUCACUUACCAUGGAAAUACCCCAGACCCAUGAGACGGGUGGCCCAAGGGAAAGAUUCCAGAGGUGAACGUGACCCAGCCCAGGAACUGAUCUUCCCUCCCUUCUCGCCAGCCUUCAGGUGUCAUUUUCAAUGUCACCUCCUCAGGAAGACCUCCCCUGGCUGGCCUCCCCUCCGACCCCUGCCUGAUCCAGCCUGUGGCUCCUUCCUUCUUCACCGCCUUGAUCACUCCCUGUGGUCUUCUAGUCAUUGGCCUGAUUCUUGGGCUAGAGUCUGCUCCCCUGCUUGAGUCUGGAAACUCCUUGGAGGCAGGAGCUGUGUCUAUUUUAUUCCCCACUGGGUGUCCAAUGGCUGUAUGAGGGAUGAAGGCAUGAUGCUGAAGAACCGCUCUGAAAGGGAUGCAGACACUGAGGGGAGCCACAGCCAGAGAAGGGAAGGAAGGGUUAGUUUUGGGGUGCGUGGUGUUUGGGGCUGAGCCUGUAUGGUUGCAGAGGGUUCAGGGAAAGCUGGCUGGGAUGGGGUUUACAGGAGAGGGCUGGAGGCCCUGCGAGAGUGUAACCUGGACACCUGGAGAUGCCAGGCCCUUCCUCUAUGAGCUGAAGGUCCCUGAUCUUGGUGAGAGGCCCGGCUGAAACCUCUGGCCAGGGGCCCUGUGUAGGGGAAGGCAGUUCCUGGGUCCACAGGACCCAGCCUGGGUGCCUACUCUCUGCUGUCCAUAGGACUCCCAGUCCAGCCGGGAGAGGCGCUUCUCCUCCCUGGGGAGGGUAGGCGGCCCAGGCCUUUUCCAUCAGUCACACUGGCCCUCCCAUUAGGGCUCUCCCUUGGUGCUUCUAUUUCUAGGAGUUCCCUGUGAGCCUCCAGCCCUCUCCCUGGCUGUGUGACCCAGAGAAGCCCUCCAGCCCUUAGAGAGGGUCACACAGAGAGGGAGAGGCAGAGUUGGGACUAACUCUAGGCCAGGACCUCCAGCUCCACCUCCACCAGGUGCAAGGUCCUUAUUCAGGCUGGCUGCCACAGGGUGGCCCCAGCAGCAGGUCCCACGUUCUCACUGUGGUUCAGCCAGGAGCCCAGCAUUCCCACACUGCCCAGGGGGGACUGCCGUUGUCAGGGGCAUCUUCCCUGGCAGUGCCCACGGCCCCACACCUGAACCUGAGUUCAGGGCGCUGAGAGUGCUGGCUUCAGGAAAGCCUAUUCUCUGGGUGUCUGCAAGGGUCUCUUCUGACACCCCCAUGAGACUGGGUCUUCCCCAGAGCAGGGCCUGUGCCUCCUCCAUCAGACUGGAGACUCCUUAUUCACAGGCCCCUCAAGCUUCAACUCUCCAGUCCUGUGGCACUGAAUCUCACUCCAGGAUCCCCCAACACCCUCAAGGCUGGCAAGAUACAUCCUCAUGCACCUCCUACUCCAGGCCAGGCCUCUCCGCAGGCUGGGGGUGGAGGCCUGGCCUGGGUCAGGUCGGGGUGCGGGGGACAGAUCUUCCAGCCCCCUCUCCCUGGAAGGUCCUUGUGAUCAUGGACCAUAUCUUAUUUGUUCCUGCAUCCCCUGUGCCUAUUGCAGAGACUGGCAUAGAGUGGGCUCUGGUGACAUGAACAAGGAGGAUGUAUAGAAGGUGACUUGGGAUGUUCUCUGAGGGGAUCCAGAAAGAAGUUCCAGGCCUCCAUAUCCCCAUCUCCGACAGCUCCCCAGGAGCCACAGUCUGGAAUUCCACUGAGGGAGAUAUGUCUUUGACAUUCUCUUCCUGGGAAUAAUUCAGAGGGUUCAUUUACUGCACUCAGGCCCGGAGGCUUUAGGGACUUUUGAGUCAGGAAACCGGGGUGGAAACCUGGGUGCUGGGAGAUCUGGGCAGGGACGGGUGUGCCAGCCUGCUCCUCAGCCUCCAGUGGGGAAGGGGUGAGCCCCCAGGGUGGGACUGAUCUCCAGACAGGCUUGCGCUGCAGGAGCCCUUGGGGCCUGUGGGAAUAGCGGGGCCUCUGACAGACGCUUUAUCAGGCCCUGUCGCCAGCGUUAUCUGCGGCUUCUCAGCAAAGAAGGAGCUACAGUCACUCAGACCACUCCAGGCCGGGAACAAAGCAGCCGAGUCAGCUGGCGUCCCAUGGCUCUACUGCCAGACCCGUGGGCUCGGCAGCCUGUGCCCCAAGCUGGGUGUUCAAGGAGGUGGCUGGCCCAGCCAGGCGACAGCCCGUCUGCUGGGACUCCCCCGCCAAGAGCCCGCCGUCACUGGGACCACCUCCCUUGAGCCUAUCUUCAGAAGGGGGAUGGGGCAUGGGGUCACUCCAGUCCUUCCAGGGCCCUGCUGAAAUGUCAGCCACAAAGGAUGGGACACAGAGGGGCCUGUCCAGGAACAAGGGCCAAGUGUCGGCGUGGGAUGAGGGCUGGGGCAGGGCUGGUCAAAUGUUUACUUGGAAUGAUUUGAGUGGGCACCCUCAGGCCACGGGGGCAGCUGGCGCCUGGCACGGAGCCCCUGUACCCACUCCCAUGGGGCACUGCAAGGAUUCAGGCCCACCCCAGAUGGGGCCUGAAUGAGAAAGCACCCAGAGAGGGCAGCCAGCCAAGUCCUGGGCAUGGUCCUUCUCUGCCAGUCUUUGCCCUCUGUUGGGGAGAAGCAGGAGCUGGGAAGGCCAGCUCCUCUCAUUCAGGAAGCACCUGCUUCUCUGGUCUGCAGGGCUGCCAGGAAUGGUUGGGCAGGUCACGCACUGCAAAAGGGCACCUUGUCGCUGAAAUAAGUGGAUCUGAAAUUUGUGCAAUGCAGUAAGGGGCUGAUUUAGCCCAGAGGCUGCUUUUUGGCAAUUUUCUGCUAGGAGAGGGCGCCAUUGCAUACCGGGCACUGGGGAUGACAACAUGGUUCUUUUGGUAGGAGCUCACAGGGUUUUCGGGGGAGGGUUGCCAGAUGUAAUACAGGAUGCCCAGUUGGAUUUGGGUUUCAGAUAAACAACGAAUAUACAUAUAUAAAAUAUGGGAUAUUAUAAACACUAUAUAUGUAAUGCUUUUAGUAUAAGUCCCAUGCAUUAUUGCAAUGUCUGAAGUGUCAUGAGGGACACCUCCCCCCAGUACGUAGGGUUAGGGCCCUGGGGCCAUGCGGGAGGCUGAGCAGCCGGGCAGUGUGGCUGCAGAGGAGCCUGAGAGGCAACAGGGACAAGAUGGAGUGUGGCCUUGAAGUGCCGGGAGUGAGCGGGGCCAGGCGGGGUUGUGAAUGGGACGCGCACCGUGGCAGGCUCCCUCUGGCGGCCGUGUGGAGAACAGGCUGCAGGGCGCCGCGGAAGAGGCCACCCCGUGAGGAGCCCAGAGCGCUGGGCCCCGGGCAGGGAGCGUGGAGCUGGAGAGAAACGGCUGACUCUAGACAUCUAAACUUUUUAUGAUGGAGAACGGUAAACGUAUACAAAUGUAGUGAGACGAGGCACGCCCAUGUCCUCAUGACCCGCGUCAACCAUCAUCAGCUCAUGGCCAAUUAUGUUUCAUAUAAACCUCUCACCCCUCCCAGCAACGGGAUUAUUUUGAAGCAAAUCCCAGACUUCAUAUUAUUUCAUCCAUAAAAAUGUCAGUAUAUAUCACUAAAAGAUAAGGCCUGGAUGUAUUUUGAAGCUGGAGCCACCAGGAAUUUGCCCGGAGCCUUCAAGCAGCUAUUAAGAGGGAGGGGCCCCCACCCCAGGAAGCUCCACACUGUGCAGUUAGUUCCCUGCUCUUCUGACCACCUCUCCUAAAGCUUUCUAGUUUUUUUCUCCCUGGGACAAGUCUUCCUAGGCCUGAGCCUCUUCUCUCCCUGCUCCUGACUGUGCACCCUCCUUAAGGAUGCCCCUUGGGCUGUGGUCUUGGACUCUCCAGAGCCUCCUUCCCCGAGUUCAGAGCGCCCACAGCCCUUUCCACUUCGUAGUCCCUUGAAAACAGGAUUGCCUCAUGUCUAGGCCUUCAAAGAUGACCCGUCCUGGGAACUCAGGACAGGCAGGCACCCUGGUGAAUGAGAGGAGAGCUCACAGGAAGUCACAGAACGAGGGACAGGGACACAGAUUCAAACGUGAAGAUACUACUAAGUGCAGAGGAGGCUCUUUGCUCUCCAGAAGGCCACCUCCUCCAGGAAGCCGUCUGGCUCUGCCUCCCUGGGAGAUUUUGAGUAGGUCACUUGCCCUCUCCCGGCCUGAGACAGGAACCGGUUCCUCACACAGAGCUUCUCCCUUCUCUCCCUCCUCUCAGAUUCUGCACCUGUAAAGUCCCUGGGACGGGAGGAGCUGAGGGGCAAACUGGACUCGGAGAGAAACUGCCAGGCCUCUAACUUCCGACAGGCAUAGUAACCCCACUUUACAGGAGAGGAAGGUGAGGUGGGAGAGGUAAAGUGACUUGAAGGGUCCGCCAGUGUGCAGGGCGCACAACCAGGAUUUGAGGGCAAAGCCAAACCCUCAGCCCUGGGCCCCAGGUGCCAGCCAGCUUUCAAGGGCCCACAUCUCUGGGCAGAAUCCGGCUCCGCGGUCCAAAUCCCGCAACCCCGCUACCUCCCAGCCUCCCCCAGCAGCUCUGGGAGGCCAGCGCCUCCCUCCUCAUUUCAUUUUACUCUGGCCCCCUUCUGUGGGCUGGGCACAGUGGGCACCAGACACACCACGCUUUUCUCUCAUUCAAUCCUCGCGGCAGCUCAGUGAGGGACCGUCCCCAUUUCACAGAAGGGGAAACGGACACUCCGACAGGCUCCAGGAGCUGCCCAGGGCCACACAGCUCUGCAGUAUAGGAGUCAGGAUGGAGACCGGGUCCUUUGACGGCAGGUGCUCCUUCCACUGUGUCGCAAGAACCUGCUUAGAACAGUCACCCAGUCUGAGGACCCGAGACUGCGUGCUCGUCCUGGCUUCAGCCAGCAUUUCUUGUUUUUUCUUUUCUUUUCUUUUCUUUUCCUUUUUUUUUUUUUUUUUUUUUUUAGAUUGAGUCUCUCUCUGUUGACCAGGCUGGAGUGUAGUGGCGCGAUCUCGGCUCACCGCAACCUCCCCCUCCCGGGUUCAAGCGAUUCUCCUGCCUCAGCCUCUCGAGUAGCUCCGGGACUACAGGCACCCGCCACUACGCCCAGCUAAUUUUUGUAUUUUUAGUAGAGACGGGUUUCACCGCGUUAGCCAGGAUGGUCUCGAUCUCCUGACCUCUUGAUCCGCCCGCCUUGGCCUCCCAAAGUGCUGGGAUUACAGGCGUGAGCCACCGCGCCUGGCCUUCUUGUUUUUUCUUACAAAUAACUCCUUUAUCGUGUUUCACCCACGUGCUCACACUUGAUCUUCCUAAAACCCACGCGAGGCAGGUCUGAUGAUAGUUCGACUUUUAUGGGCGAAGUGCCACAAGAGACCAGCCAGGGUCGGGGACCUUGUUCUUAAACUUUCCAGAUUGUCCCCAGGCUCGCGUCGCUCCCGGGAACGGCCAAUGGACGCUUGUGUUCUUCCAGCGCCCCCUACAGCCUUGCAAUGGCAUUAAAUCACCCUGCCGGACCAGUUACUUUUGCUUGAAAAGUUUUCUUUCUUCUCAAUACUUCGCUGCUGACUCUGGGCUUUUCCCUUACAAGUUUGGUUUAUUUAUUUAUUUAUUUAUUUUUGAGACGGAGUCUCGCUCUGUCGCCAGUCUGGAGUGCAGUGGCGCCAUCUCAUCUCACUGCAACCUCCGCCUCUCGGGUUCAAGCGAUUCUUCCGCCUCAGCCUACAGAGUAGCUGGGACUACAGGCGCGCGCCACCACGCCCAGCUAAUUUUUGUAUUUUUAGCAGAGACGGGGUUCCACCAUGUUGGCCAGGGUGGUCUCUAUAUCUUGACCUCGUGAUCCGCCCACCUUGGCCUCCGAAAGUGCUGGGAUUACAGGCGUGAGUCACCGCGCCCAGUCUUUUUUUUUUUUUUUUUUUAGAGACAGGGUCUUGCUCUGUCUCCAGGCUGGAGUGCAGUGGCACGAUCAUAGCUCGCUGCAGCUCAACCUCCCGGGCUCAGGCGAUCCUCUUGUCCCAGCCUCCCAAGUAGCUGGGACUGCAGCCCCGUGCCACCAUGCCCGGCUUCCCCUCACAAGUUUGGACCCACCUCGUCCCUCCUUGCUCAACAUAUUUAGCAAUAGUUAAAGCAUGUUUAUUUUCUGUAACUUCGUCUUCAGGAAAGUAAGAUAUAAUAAAGGCUUAACCAACUGGGGAGGUCGUCAGGCUUGAGAAUCACAAGGCGUGUGGAUCGCCACCAGCCUGGGAACUUUAAGGGGUGAGGUCUGUGUUCCCCCAUCGUCCUAGACCAAGGCUGUCCCAGGAAAGGGACUGUGUCUCCCUCAGGCUCCCCUGCCCCCCACAUCUCGAUGAGGCUCUUCAGAGCAAUGACAGGGGCAGUGAGUGGGGAAGAGGUGUCUUCUGGCCUCUGCUUACACCUUGCGGUGGGUGACACCCUGUGCCUGCAACAGAGGAGGGGAGUCCUGUGUUCCCUGAGGCUCGGGCGGAGAUUAGAAAGAGCCAGAAAGACCUGGCAGGUGCAGCCUGGGGCUCUCUCUGCACAUACAGGCCUUUCUCAGAGCCCAGAGGAACUUGAACCUGGGCAGCCGUGUGAGUGAAUCUUUCUGAGGGGGGCAUAUUUGAGUGGAAGACUGCCGUUCCAGGAGGCAGGAGCCUGGGACGGCAUUCACUGGGGAAGGGGGAGGGGCCAGGAGAGGAGAGCGGGAAAGGCCAGCCCAUGUCAAAGGUCCCAUGGUACCCAGGUCUCCACUCUGAAUGUCCUGCCGCCCACUGGUCACCCCAACCCUGAGGUCCUGCAGGUUCCUCAACCCCCAUCUCCAACAUUCCCGCCCACACCUCCCCCUCCUUCUGGGUUACUCCUCUUGGUUCAUUCAUUCAUCAGGCAUUCGACUAACACCUAGCUGAUCAUUUAUCAAGUGCCAGGUGUAUUUUGUUUGUUUGUUUGGUGGGAGUUUAUUGAAGUAUAAUUUACAUAUUGUAAAAUUAACCCUUUUUUAACGUACAGUUAUAUGGGAUCUGACAAAUUUUUAACAGAUGUGUAAACACUGCCACAAUCAAGAUAUAGAAUAUUUCCAUCAACCCAGAAAAUUCUUUCCUGCUCCUUGUAGUCAACCCCUCCUCCCACCUCCAGCCUCAGACAACCUCUGAUCUGUUUUCUGUCUCUAUAGUUUUGCCUUUUCCAGAAUGCCAUGUACAUGAAAUCAUACAGCACAUAAUCUUUUUAAUCUGACUUCUUUUGCUGGGCAUCAAUGCUUUUGAGAGUCAUCUAUGUGGUUGCAUGUAUUCAUAGUUGUUCCUUUUCAUUGGUGAGAUGGACUGCAGUGUAUAGGUAUAUACUACAAUAUAUUUUUCUAUUCACCAGAUGAUGAGCAUUGAGUUGUUUCUAGUUUUUGGCAAUUAAUAAUGCUACAGUAAACAUUCAUGUGUAGGUUUUUGUGCAAACAUAAAUGUUCAUUUUUCUGGGAUAGACGCCUAGAAGUGGAAUUGUGGGGUCUUAUGUAAAUGUAUGUUUCACUUGAUAGAAAUCUGCCAAAUUCUGGCCGGGCGCGGUGGCUCACGCAUGUAAUCCUAGCACUUUGGGAGGCUGAGGCAGGCAGAUCACUUGAGGUCAGGAGUUCGAGACCAGCAUUGCCAACAUGGUGAAACCCUGUGUCUACCAAAAAUAAAAAAAUUAGCUGGGUGGUAGUGGCGCGCACCUGUAAUCCCAGCUACUUGGGAGGCUGAGGCAGGAGAGUCUCUUGAACACAGUGGGGUUGGAGGUGGAGGUUGCAGUGAGCCGAGACUGCGCCACUGCACUCCAGCCUGGGUGACAGAGUAAGACUCUGCCAAAGGAAAAAAAAAAAAAAAGAAAGAAAGAAAGAAAAAAAGAAAAAGAAAUAUGCCAAAUUCUUAUUCAGAAUGGCUGUACCAUCUCCAAAGCCAUAAUAACCUCUGAAGUUUAAAUUUUAAUUUGAGUGUCUUGAAAAAUACCAGGAAGAAUCUUAUUCCUAACUGGAAGCAUCACUGUUUUGGGCAAAUGAAAGUUUUCCCUUCACUAGGGUAGCUGCUGGGUGUGGAAGUGAUGGCUUGUACAUUAAGCAUAUUCUAUAAAAACUGCCAAACCAUUUUCCAAAGUGAAAGGAGGAUUGCUUGAAUUUAGGAUUUCAAGUCCAGCCUAGGCAACAUAGUGAGAGCCUCAUCUCAAACAAAAAAAAAAUGCAAAAGUAGGAAUGCAAAAGUACUAGAGCUUUUGCAUUCCUCUAGUAAUGUUUGCAUUUUGAUUUUUCCACAUCUUUAUCAGGUGCUAGUCUUUAAAAAUGUUUUAUUAUGAAAAUUGGUAAUAUCUGCAAAAGUAGAAAGAAUAGUAUUAAUAUAAUGGGUCUCCGUGUGCUCAUCACCAGUUUCGUCAAUUACCCUUUCAUGGCUUAUCUUUUUUUUUUUUUUUUUUUUUUUUUGAGGUGGAGUUUCACUCUUGUUGCCCUGGCUGGAGUGCAAUGGUGCAAUCCCGGCUCACAGCAACCUCCACCUCCCGGAUUCAAGCGAUUCUUCUGCCUCAGCCUCCUGAGUAGCUGGGAUUACAGGCAUGCGCCACCAUGCCUGGCUAAUUUUAUAUUUUUAGUAGAGACAGGGUUUUUCCAUGUUGGUCAGGCUGGUGUCUAACUCUGGACCUCAGGUAAUCUGCCCACCUCAGCCUCCCAAAGUGCUGAGUGCUGAGAUUACAAGAGAUUACAAGCAUGAGCCACCGCACCCAGACUUUUUUUUUUUUUUUUUUUGACAGGGCCUCACUCUGUCACCCAGGCUGGAGUGCAGUGGCAUGAUAUCAGCUCACUGCGGCCUCAACCUCCCAGGCUGAAAGGAUCCUUCUGCCUCAGCCUCCGGAGUAGCUGGGACUACAGGUGCCACCACACCUGGCUUUUCAUGGCUUAUCUUGUUUCAUCCCCUGCUCUCCCACAAUGACCAAGUUACUUCUGAAGCGAAUCCUAGAUGUCGUAUCAUUUCAUUCCUAUUCAAUAUUAUGUCUAAAAGACAUGGAUUCCUUUUCUUUGUUUGUUUUGCUUUUGAGAUGGAGUUUCACUCUUGUUGCCCAGGCUGGAGUGCAAUGGUGCGAUCUUGAUUCACCGCAAGCUCCACCUCCCGGGUUCAAGCCAUUCUCCUGCCUCAGUCUCCCGAGUAGCUGGGAUUACAGGCAUGUGACACCACACCUGGGUAAUUUUGUAUUUUUAGUAGAGACAGGGUUUCUCCAUGUUGGUCAGGCUGGUCUCGAACUCCCGACCUCAGGUGAUCCACCUGCCUCGGCCUCCCAAAGUGCUGGGAUUACAGGCGUGAUCCACCAUGCCCGGCCAUGGAUUCCUUUUUUAAAAAGCCACAAUACCCUUAUCACAUAUAAAAUGUGUGCCAUUAUCACUCUUCCUAUCAUGAACUCUCCAGUCAGUGCUCACAUUUCCCAGUGUCUCAUGAAUGUCAUCAUUUCUCUUUUUUCAACUUGUUUGUUUGAAUCAGGAUACAAAUAAGGUCACUGUGUUCCAAUUGGUUUAUGUGUCUUUAAGUUACUUUGUUUGAAAGUCAUUUGGAAUAGUUUUUCUCUUUGUGGUAUUAAAGUAAAUUAAAAUGAAGACCAGGCCUAAAGAAUCCCUGAGCAAACAAAACCAGUUAGGCUCAGAAGUAGCCAACAAACUUAUAAUUAUAUAAUGAGGGACUUUCCUAUGGGAUAGAUUAAAUAAGGCAACUGUAUAACUGUAACCAAUCAAAUAUUUUCUUUGCUUUACUUCUGUGUUCCUUGUAUAAAAACCCAUCCCUUGUGUUCCCUCACUUCUGGUUUGGAACUGCCCAAUUCAUGAAUUGUUGUUUGCUCCUAUAAAUUCUUUAAAAUUUUAUUGUGCCUCAGUUUACUUUUUUCUUAUUUUUAGAGACAGGGUCCAGAUCUGUUACCCAGGCUGAAGUGCAGUAGCAUGAUCUUAGCUCACUGCAGCCUCAAAUUCCUCAAUCCUCCUGCAUCAGCCUCCUGAGAAGCCAGGACUACAGGUGCACAGCAGCACACCUGGCUAAUAUAUAUAUUAGAAACAGGGUCUUGCUAUGUUCCCCAGGCUGGGCUAGAGCUCCCAGCCUCAAGUGAUCCUCCUGCCUCAGCCUCCUAAAGUGCUGGCAGAGGUGAGCCACUGGGCCUGGCCUCAGUUUAAUUUGAAUGGUGGUUAAAUAAUUAAUUCAAUGUGUAGAUUUAUUUGCUUUAUUUUACUUUAGGUUUUUAGAAUUUUUAAAGCUUUUUAUUUAGAAAUUUAUUUAAAGAUUUUAAAUUUUAUUUCUGGUUCCAAAAUCUAUCAUACAAAUAUAUCCAGAAAGGUCUAGCUUUUAUGCCCCUUUCAAUCCUUUCCCUUCCCCAUAACUAUUAAUUUUUAAACAUUAUUCUUUAUUAUUACAUUAAUUUAAUAUGUAUCACAUACAUAAUGCAUAUGUAUUCGUAUCCCUCCCUCCUUUUUUUUUUUUUUUGUUUGAGAUGAGGAUCUCACUAUGUUGCCCAGGCUGGACUUGAAAUCCUAAAUUCAAGCAAUCCUCCUGCCUCAACCUCGAGUAGCUGGGACUACAGGUAUACGCCUCCACGUUUGGCUCUUCCUUCCUUUUAGGUAAGGAUUAGCAUGCAAUGACACUUCUCUGCCUCUUGCUGUAUUCACUGUCCAUCCCACUCCAGCUGUCUCUCCCUAGUAGUUGGUCAAGAUUGUCCUCAGUCCCCUUUACAGCCACAGAGUCCUCCAUUGUGCUGAUAACCACAGGCCUCUGCUGAUGGACAUUUUCCUUGCUCCCAUUCUUUAGCGAUUACAAAUUGAAUUGCAAUAAAAAGCCUGUGCUUACACCUUUUGGUAUUUUUGCUAGUGUCUCUCUACGGUAGAUUCCCAGCAAUGGGAUUCUUGAGUCAAAGGUUGAACAUACAUGCAAUUUUGCUAUAGCUAUUGCCAAAUUCCCCUGCAGAAGGCCUGCAUCAUUUUGCAUUCCCGUCAGCUCUGGCUAGGAGUGCCAGCAGAAUGCAUUGCCAAACUUUUGGAUUUUUGACAAUCUGAUAGGUAGGAAAUGGUAUCUCUGAGUAGUUUUAAUUUGCAUUUCUUUUGUUUGAGCAAUGUUGAUCAUAUUUUCACAGGGUUAUGAGCCAUUUGCAUUUCUUUGUCUGUGAAUUGUGUGUUAAUAUUUUUGUUUUGUUUUUGAGACUGAGUCUUGCUCUGUCACCCAGGCUGGAGUGCAGUGGUGCGAUCUCGACUCACUGCAAGCUCUGCCUCCCAGGUUCAUGCUGUUCUGCUGCCUCAGCCUCCCCAGCAGCUGGGACUAGAGGUGCAGGCCACCACGCCCAGCUAAUUUUUUUUUUUUUUUUUGUAUUUUUAGUAGAGACGGGGUUUCACCGUGUUAGCCAGGAUGGUCUCAAUCUCCUGACCUCGUGAUCUACCCGCCUCAGCCUCCCAAAGUGCUGGGAUUACAGGCGUGAGCCACUGCGCCCGGCCAUUGUCUGUUAAUAUUUUUAGCCCAUUUGUCUAGGAAGUUGUUCGUUUUUCCCUUCUCUACUUUUAGAAGCCAUUCACUAGAGACAUUCAUGCUUUGCCUGUGAUACAGGUUGCAAGUGUUUUCUGCCGUUUGUCAUUUGUCUUCUUUCUUUCUCUGUUUGUUUGUUCGCUUAUUUAUUCAUUUAUUCUGGGGAUGUAGCCAUGAACAGGGUGACCCUGAGGGGCUCCACUGACAUGCACAGCCCAAGUCAGAACCUUGGAUGGUCCUGUAUGCGCCUCGUCCCAACCCUUCCCUGUGCUGUCCUUUCUGCCUCUGACCCCUCUCCUGCUGCCCAGUGACCACCCUGCCCCUGUCCUUCCCUGCCUGGGCCCUCAGCAUCACCCAGUCUGAGCUCACAGAGGACUGGAAACAAGCCUGUUUGUCUCUGUAUCCCCCCCACGACGUGCAGGGCAACUGAUCAGUGAAUGAGUGAAUGAAUGAAUGAAUGAAUGAAUGAAUCCUGUGUGGCUAAAACAGCCUCUCCGCCCAGGAAGCCAAGUCAGAGAGGAGCUUGGAAGAGCACUUUCGAGAUCAAGGUUUCUUCACCCCUUGCAUUCUCUUCAGACCUAACUCAGGUCUGAGUUUCUACUCCCAAAUGCCUCACAGGCAAUAUAUGAUGCCUGCUUCUUUUCAUGAUUUAAAAGAACACUCGCUUAUUGUAGAAAAUGUGGAAAAUACAGCAGUACAAAAAAAGAAUUAGAAAUUCUCCAUUAACUCAUUGCCCAGAGGAAACGGCCGUGGGCAUUUUGGUGUAUUUUUAUUCAACUUUGAAAGACAUAUUUUAUUUUUACACAUUUUAUUUUAUACAGUAUAGACAUACAUAUGCAUACACGCCUCCUCUCAUGACAUUAAACUUUUGCACAACUUCACAAUUGUAAAUGAUCACAGAAAAAUGCCUCAAAAUGAAUGUAUCAUAUCCUAGCCCCACCACUUAACCUCUCUGUGCCUCAGUUUUCUCCUCUGUAAAACGGGGAUAAUAAUAGUAUCUACUUUAUAAGUUGCUUGUAAGGGUUCAAUGUGAUUAUGGUGUGAAUGUGGGAAGCGCUCAGAAAGUAUCAUUUUCAUUAUUAUUAGAACUAUUAUUCCUUAAUUGCAAACAUUUAAAUUCUAAUUUUAUUCUAUUGCAAAUGACACUGUAAUGAAUCUCUCUGCUCGGGAGGGUUGUGUGGGAACCUCAGGGAGCUUGCUUCACCCACCCCCGCCCCCCAAAUUAAGCACAACAGGGACAGAGAGAGCGAGGUGUGCUGGGAGGCCCCGUGGCUAAAAGUUAGGAGACCAGAUCUUGGCACUGGCAGCCUGGGGAAGGAGGGCAAAGGGGUGGGGGUGCAGGGAAUGGCAUCUGUGAAAGCUCAGAAGCUUCUAGAAGAGCAUGGGAAGUUCUGAUGUGGUUGCUGGGAUGGCAGUUCUUGUCCCUAUUUGACCUAUGGGUAAUUGAGGGCCAGGAAAGGGGUGACUUGUCUGAUGACGUGGAUGGGCACCAAGUCUGAGCUUCCUGGCUCUCCACAUGCCUGAAAAACAUCUGUGUUUGUUGGGAGAAGGAGAUGAAGAAGAGGAGGAGGAGGAAGAAUUUGGGGCUUUCGAAGCAUGCAUGCCUGUGUGCCCCUGCCCAAUCAAGGUUCAGCUGUCCUGCAAAGCAACCCAGCGGGUCCUGUGAGCUGGAGGCCAGUUUGCCCUGUUUGUCUCCAUGGGUCUUUUCCCUGAUGUCUCCCAAACAGAGACCGUUGGGCUGGCAGCUGGCAGGUCUCCUGAGCUCCACCCUCACCUCCCAUCCCUUCAACCCAGUAGCCUUGCAGACAAAGGCUGGAAAGCCAGGUCCCAUUUCCAGUCAUCAUCCACAGUGCAUAAUUAGGCAGUGCUUGCCUUGUGUUUAUUUAAAGAAGGAGUGUGAACUUGGCAUCAGUGCUUCUGCCAAGAGGGAAGAGCCCCGGAAGGCCCAGAGAAAGCUGGGGGCUUGGGCAGCAGGGGUUUGAGGCCUGAGAGGCCAGGCCGGCCUGUGGUAUAGACAUCGACAAGCAAAGUUUGAGGACUCCUGAAAGUUCUCCAAAAUCUUACCUGCUACCUGUCACCAUUCUCAGUCCGUUAUUAGAACUGUAGCUUCUCAACAGCUUUCUAAGUUCCAAAGAAAAUGCAAAUUAAUACUUCUUGGGGCGCCUCUAUCCUUUAUGGUCUGAAUUUGAGAACAUUGCAAUAGCAGCCUCAUUGCUGCACUAGUCCAAACACUUCUGUGUAACCCUCUUCCACAUGCAGUACUGAGGAGUUCUUGCUGCCUACUGUUUACAGAGGGUAGUCCAAGAAAUAAGAAAUGUCAGUCCCACAUGGUGAAAACUCUGCACUCUAGGGCUUGGGAAUUAUCUGCUAAUAAGACCUGACAUUUCUGAAGGCCAUUAUGAGUUAAACCUCAGGCUCAGAAUGUAUAAUGGGGAGAGAUUCUAGAUACUUCUAGACCACUCUUCUCAUGGAGUAGAAAAAAAUGUAGAGAAACCUCAGAGAGGGGAAGGGACUUACCUACACCAGUUAACGGUAGAGCUAGGACUAGAACACAGGUCUCCUGAUUUCAGUCUCAACUCUCAGGCACCAUGUUGCUUCCCUCCAUUCAAAGAUCAGUGAGGGGGCAGUCAGCACCAGCUGGAGUGUGGCAGUGAAGAGCUCACAGUCCCUGCCCAAGAGGAGCUCCCAGAGGCUGACAAGGGUAUGGGAACAGGGACUCAUCUGAAUCAGAGUGGGUGGAGUUUAGACAGGGGUGGGUCUGAAGAACUGUGGGGAACAGGGUGGUGAGACAGACAUCAGCAAAUUUCCCAAGGGGGUUAGCACAGGAGGUUGAAGGAUGAAUGGGGCUUCUUUACCAGGAGACAUAGGGAAAGGUGUUCCGGGAAAAGGGAAGGGCAAACUCAUGGGAAAAGGAGGCUGAUUUCUCCUGUUCCCAGGUUACAGUGGAUUCCCUGCGGGCUUAACCAGGAUCCCUAGCGCUCAGUGCAGACCCUCCCACGGCAGGGCCCGAGGCUGUAAUCUGUAACCUUAUUGUGACAUAUAUAGUUACAAAGAGAUUGGUUGGACAGGAUGGAUUUUAAUCGAAAAGAGUUAGCCUCUACUGGUGGAAAUGCGGACAUUGUGGCAGGUGAUGAGAAGAAUCCUUUUUGGGGUAGCAGUGGUGAAAACGCUUGCAUGGGUGCGCUGGCAUGCGUGCAGGGACACCUCUUCCUUGUUCUCAAUUCUGUUGACUUUCAAAUUGCAGUUUAAGAGCCAUCUUCCCAUGUCCAACUGUUAAGGUGGCCACUACCCCCUCCCUCUUCUGGACCAUGCCAUCCCCUGCUCUGAGUCUCAGUUUCUCCACAUGUAAAAUGAGGCAGGUGGACUUGCUUGUCUUAAAGGCCCCUUCUGCCUGGGGCUGGUUCUUUAGCCCAGUCUCUGCUUCUCCCUCUGCGGGGAUGUCAGAGGCGCCCUCUCGUGGUCAAUAUUGGCCAUGCAUCCUUGGACUUGGCGCAGGUUUUUGCUUGGCCUCUGAGGGUGUGUGCUUGUGUGUGCAUGUGCGUGUGAGCGUGCCUGUGUACUGGGAGUGGUUACACAGCGGGUGCGUGACAGGCUCAUGACACAUAGAAUGCAGAGCUUCGCUAACUCUCAGACCCUGAUGAAAACACAGAUAAGGAGGUGGGGGUCAUUUAAAAUAAGGGCAAAACCUGCUAAAAGCUUCCUGGGGCCCUUGCCUGGGACACCUAGAGUUCCAAAAUGCCCUAGGCCACCCAUCUUGCUAAUAUACUUUGAGAGCAUCACUCCUCUGCUCAGAAUCUCAUCCUGCCACCCCUCUGCUGAACAGAGUAAACAUCAAACUCCUGGCCCUCCAGAAUACCUGUGGCCUCACUUCUCACUCUUCUUUCCUAUACCACUCCAGGUGAACCACUCCAUCCUUCCCAUCCCCUAUCCUCAGCUUAUGCUGGGAUUUUUUUUCCCAGAGUGUCCUACCCUCUCCUUUAGUCCCCCAUAGCACCUUUCAAGAUGUGGCUAAAAUGCCACCUCCUCCAGGAAGACUCCCUGAAUUUUCCCACUUGGAUCUGUGCUCUCUUUCCUCUGAACCUCCUGGCAACUUUGUCUAUAACUGUCUCCUGGGAUGUAGACAGUUUUAGAGUUUACCCAGGUAAUUUAGGUCGAAGAUGUCCUGUUUUGUUCCCCCUACUCAAAAACUGGCUCCAUGACUGCUUUAUAUCUGGGUCCUUCUAAAUACUGAGCCUUCCCCAUGGCAUCCAGGCAUCCCUCUGCAAGGCCCUGAUUCCCACUCCUUCCCUCUGCCUCCUCCUUCAGUAGGGGCUGCUGUCAUGCAAGGAGGUCUGGCAGUGGAGGAAGAAGACAUGAGCCUUGGGCCAGACUCUUACUGGAUUCCCACCCCACCUGCCCCGUCUUCAGCAGACAAGCUGGUACCCAGCACAAAGGCUCCAGCUGCUGAGCUGUGUGUGGGAGCCUGGUCUCUGGGUGCCCAGAAUGAAGGGUCAGACCCAGGUCACUGCCUGACUCUUUCUUUCAAGGACCGAAGUAAGAACUACAGGCCUAACAGUAACAUCCCUGGCUAUUUGUAGAAGUCCGCUUGGUCGGUCCAUGCUCUAUAACAUGAAUUUCUCAUACAACCCAUUUUUAGAUGGGGAAACAAGAGCUCAGAGAGGCUAGGUAACUUGUUCAAGAUCACACAGCUCUGAGUGCAAGUGUUCAAACAUAGUCCCCACUUUCCAUCCGUCUCCAAAUCCUGUGCAGUUUCUGGAAUAUUCUGCUGUCACUGUGCCUUGCACAAAUCCAGGUUUUGAUAAAUUCCUGGAUAAUAAAAGGCAGACAUGAGUCAACAUAUAACCAGCUCUUUCUCUUUGACUUCCAUAUUGCCCCAGGCCCACACGCGGACCUCUGCAUGAGGGAAGAGUGACAGAACUGGGUUUGUCUGAGAGGGUGAUGGCUCGGGGGGCCAAAGGGAGAGGUGAACCCUGCAUCCCAGGAGGGGUGAAUUCUCUGAUGUGAAUCAUCUGGGUGGUAGGGAGUAAUGGGUCCUGGGCAUGGUGGGGACUGUCACACCCUGAUGCGCUGUCCCAGUUAGGUUGGAGGAGGCUGGGAGGGCCAUCUGACCACAAUGCAGGUCUGUUGCGGACCUCAAGGAGCCUGCAGGGAGUGCAGCCACCUCAGGCACACACCUUGGUGAUAGAUUUUAC
RNAcentral lists this long non-coding RNA (22187 nucleotides) under Homo sapiens (human). Its description in RNAcentral is "non-protein coding lnc-SMAD6-2:4". The record is from RNAcentral. Lineage: Eukaryota; Metazoa; Chordata; Mammalia; Primates; Hominidae.